This 69-nucleotide transfer RNA is filed under the name Tegula lividomaculata. RNAcentral's name for it is "tRNA-Phe". It matches the Rfam family "tRNA". Rfam says of the family: Transfer RNA (tRNA) molecules are approximately 80 nucleotides in length. Their secondary structure includes four short double-helical elements and three loops (D, anti-codon, and T loops). Lineage: Eukaryota; Metazoa; Mollusca; Gastropoda; Trochida; Tegulidae. The record is from RNAcentral.
AUUUUGGUAGCUUAAUUUUUAGAGCAUAGCAUUGAAGCUGCUAAGGUGAGCACAUUCGCUCCCAGGAUA